This 1368-nucleotide ribosomal RNA is filed under the name uncultured bacterium. Its description in RNAcentral is "bacterial SSU rRNA". It matches the Rfam family "Bacterial small subunit ribosomal RNA". The record is from RNAcentral.
GAGUUUGAUCCUGGCUCAGGACGAACGCUGGCGGCGCGCCUAACACAUGCAAGUCGAACGAGCGAGAGAGAGCUUGCUUUCUCAAGCGAGUGGCGAACGGGUGAGUAACGCGUGAGGAACCUGCCUCAAAGAGGGGGACAACAGUUGGAAACGACUGCUAAUACCGCAUAAGCCCACAGCUCGGCAUCGAGCAGAGGGAAAAGGAGCAAUCCGCUUUGAGAUGGCCUCGCGUCCGAUUAGCUAGUUGGUGAGGUAAUGGCCCACCAAGGCGACGAUCGGUAGCCGGACUGAGAGGUUGAACGGCCACAUUGGGACUGAGACACGGCCCAGACUCCUACGGGAGGCAGCAGUGGGGAAUAUUGCACAAUGGGGGAAACCCUGAUGCAGCGACGCCGCGUGGAGGAAGAAGGUCUUCGGAUUGUAAACUCCUGUUGUUGAGGAAGAUAAUGAUGGUACUCAACAAGGAAGUGACGGCUAACUACGUGCCAGCAGCCGCGGUAAAACGUAGGUCACAAGCGUUGUCCGGAAUUACUGGGUGUAAAGGGAGCGCAGGCGGGAAGACAAGUUGGAAGUGAAAUCUAUGGGCUCAACCCAUAAACUGCUUUCAAAACUGUUUUUCUUGAGUAGUGCAGAGGUANGCGGAAUUCCCGGUGUAGCGGUGGAAUGCGUAGAUAUCGGGAGGGACACCAGUGGCGAAGGCGGCCUACUGGGCACCAACUGACGCUGAGGCUCGAAAGUGUGGGUAGCANACAGGAUUAGAUACCCUGGUAGUCCACACCGUAAACGAUGAUUACUAGGUGUUGGAGGAUUGACCCCUUCAGUGCCGCAGUUAACACAAUAAGUAAUCCACCUGGGGAGUACGACCGCAAGGUUGAAACUCAAAGGAAUUGACGGGGGCCCGCACAAGCAGUGGAGUAUGUGGUUUAAUUCGACGCAACGCGAAGAACCUUACCAAGUCUUGACAUCCUGCGACGCGCAUAGAAAUAUGUGUUUCCUUCGGGACGCAGAGACAGGUGGUGCAUGGUUGUCGUCAGCUCGUGUCGUGAGAUGUUGGGUUAAGUCCCGCAACGAGCGCAACCCUUACUGUCAGUUACUACGCAAGAGGACUCUGGCAGGACUGCCGUUGACAAAACGGAGGAAGGUGGGGAUGACGUCAAAUCAUCAUGCCCUUUAUGACUUGGGCUACACACGUACUACAAUGGCGUUAAACAAAGAGAAGCAAGACCGCGAGGUGGAGCAAAACUCAGAAACAACGUCCCAGUUCGGACUGCAGGCUGCAACUCGCCUGCACGAAGUCGGAAUUGCUAGUAAUCGUGGAUCAGCAUGCCACGGUGAAUACGUUCCCGGGCCUUGUACACACCGCCCGUC